Molecule: ribosomal RNA, 309 nt
Filed under: Triticum aestivum (bread wheat)
Lineage: Eukaryota; Viridiplantae; Streptophyta; Magnoliopsida; Poales; Poaceae
Description: partial small subunit ribosomal RNA
Source: RNAcentral
AUGCAGGCAACUAUCACAAAGAUGAUGUUACACCCGAGCGGUGAGAAUACCAAAUUCUGCACCAACGACCCUCUCUUGCCUUUUGUGCUCGCAUCGGUGGUUUUAGUAUCUCCAUUGGGUGGUGCAAAUGUUGCUGAUGAUGGCAAAUACCUGAGACCAAGAAGCAAAUUGUCGCACAUGAAUUUGAGAUUCCAAAGCAAGGGACAUGAGCGAGCAGUCGAUGGAAUUCUCCCCAGAGUGCCUCGCAUUCACCACCAUGAAGAAUGCAUUGACAGUCUUCUGAUAAGAGCUGAGCCCAUCAAACACUGA